Prionailurus viverrinus (fishing cat) is the source of this 1227-nucleotide long non-coding RNA. RefSeq lists it as uncharacterized. The record is from RefSeq and is a predicted model, not a curated record. Lineage: Eukaryota; Metazoa; Chordata; Mammalia; Carnivora; Felidae. The transcript has 4 exons.
GCUCCAGUGCUGGCUCCCUGACAGCAUGACCUCUGCCCCCGAGCUUACAGAACACGCUCCCACGCAGAACCCCACUGAGCCUCACACAGCCUGGGACACACGCGGUGCCGUCCUCACACACAGAGACUGUGUCUCCUGCUCAGCAACCCCCAGCUUCAGGGAGCACUUGCUGGACGCACCAGCCUGUAAAAGGCCGCCCCCUGGCGGUCCGCCACUGACACCAGCACCUCAGAGUCCAUAAACUACAAGGUCAAGGUGAACCGGCCACACAGAACAGCCAGCCAUUGUCCAAACAGCCUGGAAGACAGGAGGCAGUGACGCUUCAUGACAUAUUUCACUGUUACCAGCCAGCAUCCCAGGACACACGUCAGGACAGAGAAAGGCUGGUGACUAUUUGGCCUUGAGAUUAGAAGUGAGUUUGGGCUCCUACAUACAACCAGGGCCCAGGAACUAGCAGGUGAUCACCAAAUGUUUGCUGAAUUGGGAUAAAGCAGUCAAGGCCAGCCAUAGCCCAAAGACACUCACGGCAGAAUGGAUCCAGCCUCAUAGAAAGGGAGGGUGGACGGUGAAGGAAACUUCACAAAUGCCCCAGCAAGUCAACAGCAGACCCUACAUAAGAACCCAGAAGUGGAGUCCCAGCCUGGGGAUGUGGGCCAGGCUUAAAGGCCAGCAGUACUCACUGGGUACAAGAAUGUGCUUGGAAAUAAUGGAAAACCAGUCACCACUUAGGUGACAAUGGGACUGAAAGUGUCUAAGGAAUAAGAACGUACCCCCAAGAAGUCUUCGAGAAAGGCCAGCGGUGUGAAUCUGCCUCUUCUUCUCGGUCUGCAUUUCCCUACCUCAUCUUGUGGAACGAGGGGCAAUUGAAAAUGCUAAGUGGUGUUGGCAUCCACUGUUCCCUUGUCACCGGUCCUUGAAGACUUGGUGUGUCUGGGGUGUGAGUAAGCACGUGUGCAUUUGGAGGACUGUCACUGCUUUUCUCACGUCACUCAAAUCCCUGUAUGGUUAAUUAAAAGCCAUGGCAUCAUCUCUACUGUGACAUGGGAUGAUCCCUGCUCUACGAUCCGUCAUCCUAAUUAGCAAGGAGAGAAGGGAUUUGUCUGCUUUCAAUGUGUAUGUUUUAAAGCUGGCGACACUCACAGGAGAUGGGCCUGAGCGAAUCCAGCAUGAAAUUCUAUUCAGAAAAUUGUUUGUGAAUUUUGAAACAUGAUCUUGGGCUUGUUCAGA